AAGAUGACUCCAACACCAUCACAGAAUGCCCAACUCUGCCACAGGGCCACUCAUGGACUCAGCCUUGACCCAGGUGGAAGCAGCAGGUGGAAGGGGUGCCUGGGCAGAGGCAGAAUGCCAGAAAAGAGUGUAUGGAAAACUGCCUGCUCUGAACAGGAAGCUGAGGAAGAGAAGAGGCCAAUUUGAUGAGACAGGAGAGUCCAGUGCUUUCCAAAAGGUACUUUUAUUUUUCUUUCAUGACUCUCCCAAAUGCCUUGUAGCUGGCCUGGCCAUAGCAGGUACCUCACAAUCGCCCUGGGAGACAUUUGCUUUGGUAGUGGCAAGUUUCAGAUGCAGACCUCUCACAGAGGAUUCUACCCUGCAGCCUCUCUGAUGAUUCUGGCCCUCUGUGAUCCUCCUCAUUGAGGUCCUAGAGGGGCUUCUCCCCUGCCCACAACAAAAUAGAAAGUCUGGCACUGUGCAUGCAUAAGCCUGCCUUAUUCCCUUUAUAAGCAGCC
Molecule: long non-coding RNA, 497 nt
Filed under: Fukomys damarensis (Damara mole-rat)
Lineage: Eukaryota; Metazoa; Chordata; Mammalia; Rodentia; Bathyergidae
Description: lncRNA (ENSFDAG00000032038.1)
Source: RNAcentral